GUUUGACCUCAAAUCAGGUAGGAAAGCUCAAAUUUGAAAUCUGGUACCUUCGGUGCCCGAGUUGUAAUUUGGAGAGGGCAACUUUGGGUUUGUAAAGUGCCUUCGAAGAGUCGCUAAGUGGGUGGUCCAUCUAAAGCUAAUAGUCGAUCCUAAGAGAUGGGGAAGCUCCGUUUCAAAGGCCUGAUUUUAUGCAGGCCACCAUCGAAAGGGAAUCCUUCCGGAACCUGGAUAUGGAUUCUUCACACUGAAUGUGGAGAAAAUCCACAGGAAGGAAUAGUUUUCAUGCCAGGUCGUA
RNAcentral lists this ribosomal RNA (295 nucleotides) under Saccharomyces cerevisiae BY4741. RNAcentral describes it as "25S ribosomal RNA from Saccharomyces cerevisiae BY4741 (PDB 7R6Q, chain 1)". The stretch from base 141 to 293 matches the Rfam family "Eukaryotic large subunit ribosomal RNA", at positions 1536 to 1844 of the family's 3401-position model. Lineage: Eukaryota; Fungi; Ascomycota; Saccharomycetes; Saccharomycetales; Saccharomycetaceae. The record is from RNAcentral.